This is a long non-coding RNA of Harpia harpyja (harpy eagle), 5722 nucleotides long. RefSeq lists it as uncharacterized. The record is from RefSeq and is a predicted model, not a curated record. NCBI's taxonomy places the organism in Eukaryota, Metazoa, Chordata, Aves, Accipitriformes, Accipitridae. The transcript has 2 exons.
UCGUCCCCGUCAUCGAAGCCCCGCAAUCGCUCGCCGGACCAUUGUAACGUGCUGUUUGUUUUCUUUCCUCUUCAGACUUCUACAGGUCAUUAUUUAUUUUUUUUUCUUUUUUUUUUUUGGCGCGCGCGGAAAUAGCGCUAGUCAACGUGGAAAUCGGGUUUGCCACCUGCACGCCUCGUGAGGUUCUGCAGAGGCAGGGCGAGAGUGGCGUGUAGUACUUGGAAGAUACUUGACCUGUGCGUAACGGUGGGGAGUCGUAAGCCUUGCGGGUUGUGGUCAGGGCACAUCAGUAAUUCCGUCAGUGUGAUGCUAGAGGAAUUUUGGUUCAUGCGAAAGAAGGCAAAAAAUACGUGGAAUCGCCAGCCCCAAAGGGGCAGGAGGUGGAACUGGAGUUUAAAAACCAGCCAGAUGAACUUACAAGGCUUUCAAAAGCGGGAACUGGCGGCAAACGCUGGAAACUAGAGGGCUUUUAAAAGGCAUAUGGAAAUACGUGAUGCCUUGGCAAUAACAAGAACAAAAAUGUGUACUAGACUCCAAAACUAAUGCGGGUUGUGCUUAAAAAGGGGGUUUUUCAGCUAAUAAUGGGGAACCCGCUUAGGCUUUUUGUAUCGGCUCUGUGUAUCUUUAGUCGGACUGAAGCAAAGCAAAAAUUGGCAUGUGCCUGUCAGACGCAAGGAAACAAACCAUAUUUGUAUUGGAGUAAGAGCUGGAUCCUCUCUAGAGAAAAUGGCAUCAGCCCGUAGAAUAUGUGUGUAACUCAAACAGUCUUUGUGCCAGAGGGUGUUGGGGAGGAAUUGUUCACCUUUGCAGUCAUGUAUCUUCUCCUGUUAGAUAGCGUAAUAGUGACUGCUGGAGCACAGAGUGAAAUCCCGAAACAGCGGUCAAGGCGUACUUGAACUAUAAAACAGCGAUUCUUCUCUCAUUGCUUCAGCUUGUGAGAUGUAGGAUACCCAAUCCUACAUUUGUGCCAUUCUACCGAAAUCAGUAGAAUUUUUUUACUGGAAUAGUAACGGUGGUGUAAAAGCACCCCAAAGUGAAAGCAAAUGGUUCAUGACUUGUGCAGCUUCCUUCCUUUCAAAAGUCACUAUGGUAUGCACAGAAUUUAUUAAUAUUUUUUUCCAAGUUUUUUGUUGUGGUUUUUCUAGCAACAGCGGAUUCUUUAAUGAUUAAUCUACAAAUGGUGGUAAAUCUGUGAGUUUUAGGUUAUAUGUUUAAGUCAUCUGUGUGGUUUUGCAUCAGUAUUGCGUAAUCUCUUGACUGUCCCCUUUUUAUGUAAUGUAUGUUUGUAGUUUGUUUUAAAAUGUACAAAUAUUUUUUCCUCUGCGUGCUUCUCCUCAGAUAUUUCAUAUUUGUCUCUCCAUUGCCCUCUUGAGUUAAAAACUUGUAAGACACCAUUUUGAUAGCUGGAUCCAGCUGAGUGUUACGUAUUUCUCUUUUAAAAACAGUCUCCAUAACAUCUCAGGACAUGCUCUUUUCCAGGUAAGUUAUUUAGAGUGUUAUACCACCUUCGGAGUUUCUGCUUCCUCCUGGUAGAAGCAUGAGAUCAACUUGUACUGGUGAGGUCCAACAUUGUAAAUGAACUUUUUGUAAAAACUUAGUAACACAUUGACUUUUACUAUGUAAAACUGUAGUGUUUUUUAAACUCAUUUCAGAACUCAAUAUAUUUGAUUCUCUUAACCAAAGUGUGGGGGUGUGUGUGUGUAGAAAUAGUUCCGUGAUCUUUUCAGCAAUGCCUGCUUUUAGGGAAGAAAAAAAAAGGGGUGUGUGUGUUUAAAAGAUAGGUUGAUGUAAGCUUGUAAUUUAACUAGUUUGCAGUGGAAUUGUUUACCUCAAAAUUUUGUAUUUGGAUCCUAUGACCUAAAAAUGCCAGCUGGAUACUUGAAGCAGCUCGAGCCUUUAGGCCCCUCUUCUGCUUACUCCAGCUGCAGUCCCUGGAGAACACAGCUGGCUGCCUGGCGUUGGGCGCUGCUCCCGUCGAAGCCAUCGGUAGGCAUAGGAACGGGCGUCUGCCAUGCUGGCUCCAGAAGCGCGUACGACAAACGCCGUUUAAGCCCAGCUGAAUGUGUUCGCAGUGCUGUAAAAUUCCACCGCCUGCCAGCCUGCUCCGCUGGCGAAAGCCUGGCAGGCUCGGUGCAGUAUGCAGCGUGGUCACGGUGUGGUGCUACCCUCGUACUCGCGCUGUUAAUGAUUCCACUCCUCGGCUCUCGCAAGUGGCGUGGCAACAUAAACUUAGCUGGCUCUCUGCCAUCAUACCCACUGACUGUCUGGUUCAUGACAUUCAGUGCUCAAGUAGCGUAAACCAAAUGCUGCUGUCCGGCUCCAGUGAAUUUAAGGGGGAGAGAGGGGUGCCCCCAUUCUCUCUAGUGAUGGCUGUAGAGUGGUUACUUACCCUUUCUUUCUUCAUUAAAUCCAGCAUCGGUGGAUUUGUCUGGAAGAAGCUGCUACUACAAAACGCUUUGAGCUGCAUUGCAGAAGCCACCGUGGUCAUUAAGAUAGCACUAAUUAUCUGGGUAAUUUUCUGGACUGAAACCUCAGAUGCAAAGCCACCUCUGUUAAAUGCUCCUGAGCCUUUUGUCUGGCAGCUGGGCGUCUGUUUGGAGUGAUGCGGGGUUUCUGAGACGCGUACGGGAUGAGGAGAUGGAGGAUGUGCCUGCUGGGCUCGGCAGUGUUGCGGAGGGGCCGCAAUGACUGACAGGCUGCCCUGGCUCAGUUAUCACAGUGCUGAUGCUGUCUCUUGUAAAGGUACAGUACUGUGAUAACUGAAGGAUGGCAGCCAUCUGAGCUUCACGGGGCCCUGCACCGCUGGUUCUCUGUGCCCCAGGGACUGACGGACGGAUGCAUGUACAGCGCAGCGUCCUGCUGGAGUCCACUCGUUUUAAAUGUACCGCUUUGCAUAAAAGUCGAAGAAGGUAAAGAAAACUUAUAUUUUAUUUGAAUAAAAUAUUAUACUUUAUUGAGAGUUUGCCUGUUAAUUGACUGUUUUGCCUUGGAAGAUCUUCCAGAAAUGCUGUGCUUUGGAAAUCUUCAGAAAUGGUUCAGAAAGCAGGGUCCUGUGCAGCACGGUGAAGUAUUAAACGGCGGAGGGGCGGGUCAAUGGGUAAUCCUCGGUACCAGAACAAACAGAAAUGACUCUGUAGCAAUAGAGAAAACAAAGCCUGCUUUAGACGGCGGGACACAGGUUAUUUCACCCUCCGGCCAGCGCACUAGGAUGAUGCAGUGGGUUGUCCGUGAUGCAGCUGGUACAGCCUCUUGCAGGGUUUGCUUGGGGCUUCUCUGCCCCAGCGAGUGGGAGACUGCAAAUUUCCCAGGUAAUUUCUGUAGCAGUGUCAUGAAAAUGCCUAGAAUGGACAAGGUUUUUGGGGAAUCUGCUCUUGGCUGAAGCUGCUAUCGGUGAUUUUUGUGCCAUGUGAAUUAAAUCGUGGUGGGAGAAUGGAGGGUUUGUCUGUCCCUGCCUGGGUGGCUCCGGGGGGGUGCUGGGUGCAGUGCUGGGACAGGACAGCAGAGGGGCCCCGCGGGCCGGGUUGUGUUGGGGAGUGUGAAAUCCGAGGAUUUUUGCAUAAAAUAAGCAGAGGCCUGCAGACAUGUUGGUGUGGUGCCGGUUCCCCAGAUCCCACUCCCCCUGCCCCCCCCAGGAAGUGUAUGGUCCUCAGGCUGCCGGGGCUGGUGCAGCAAUUUCCAGAGGUCACAGUUUAUUCUUGAUACUGAUGUUCAGUGUGGUCAUUAACCCAGUGGUGUUUAGAAAGCUCUUCUUCUGGACUGGAUGAUUCGUGACCAUCCUAGGGCUUUGCCCUGUGCUUCCCUGCACAGCCCUGGCUGCUGCUCACUGCUCCGGGGAGAGGAUUAGCUCAACCGACGGUCUGCUCCAAGAUGGCAAUUAGCUGGUUUAUGUUAUUUCUCCAAUCUUCUUUACUGGAAGGUGUUUCUGCCAGACCGUGCUGCUGGCUAUGCCUGUGGGCCCAGAUGGGGUUGGUGCUGUACAGCCACGAUGGAACAUUUUGCCAGCAUGCGUCAUUUAAACGGGGGAAAUUAUUACUGGUGUUAUCGUAGUGGCUUGAGUCUGUUUCUGGAGGAGGAAUCUAUUGUACUAGAAACUCUGCAAAUGAUAAAAAAAGCAUCCUGCUACCAAGAGUUUAAGUUCUAGAUAGAUUAAAAUCUGAGCAGAGUCAACCUUCAGCUUCCUUUCUGCCUCUUUCCGAAGCCUGCAGGGACCCCUUGACCUGGGCAGGAAUACACUCAUCCCGAAAAGGAGAGGUGGUCAUCUCCCGCAGCGCAGGGGCUGCAGCCGUCCCUGGCUCUAUGACAGCAACACGCCUGCACUGCUCCUUCAUGUGCUGUGCCACGCUCUUGUUUUGAUUACAUCUUUUUAGCUAUUUAUGUUGUCAUUUUAGGAGCCAGCAGGUGCUUGGGGAACGUGCAUCCCCUUCCCUGGGAGAAAGGCAGGUGGCAGUGGAAUUUGGAGCUGGAAGUAGCGUGGUGUUCAGCCAGGUCCUCUCAGUGCUGCCUGACGGACGGCUUUGGGUGUUCACGGAUGAAUACAGUCAGGGCGCUGACUCGUACUAGAAACCGAAAAGUUCUUGUCCUUCCCACGGGAAACAAGAUAACUGCUCAGGGGCAGAUACAAGGUUUGUUAUGGACCGGGUCCAAGGAAUUGGGUUCCUCACCUACCGAGCCUUGGGUCAGAUUUGAGGGUUAAUGACCAACCCGGCUUAUUUAGUGGGACGUGCAGCAAAGCUGUUUGCUGUGUACUGCAGGACAUGUCAAAUACUGGUGAAAGAGAGCAAAGAGCCUGUUCGAAUGACAUGUGCCUCUGGCUUCAGAUUGUGAUUCUCGUUUCCUGUUACAAGUACAGCUUCGAGCUCUGGCAUGGGACAGGAACUGAAAUGCUGUCUCUGCCCAAAAACAACACCUCUCCAAUCAGAUUUACUGGGAGCCUUUAUCUCCCUCUCUAGCUCAGCGGACAUAGCGUCCAUCUCUUUUUACUGUAGCCUCCUACUGAUACCGUAGUGGGUCAGACUUAUUAUAAAUACUGGUGGGUUUGCUAUGUCUAAAUAUUGCUACACACGAACAAUGCAACUAUCAAGUCUCUUUUGGCAGUGGAGCACUUCCUCCCACGAACCGUGUUAAAGCAAGAGGUAAACAACAUGCAUACAGCGAUACAUCACGUCACUUUCUGCUCAAAAAUAAGGUCUGUGAGGACCAUCCGUUUUCUGAUAAAACUUUCUGUAAUUUAUGGGUUUGAUCCCAAGGCAAGGCAAUUUUCUCAUGACACAUCUCAGCUGUCAUUCCAGAUGGAUUUGUUCUAACCCGGUUGUUCUCAGCCUUUUUCAUCAGGAAAGUCCCUUUUCCCAUCUGGAGGCCGUCACCUUCCCACCCACGUUUUGCAUGAGGAGAACAGCAGUUCUGCUCCUGCGACGUCUCCUCGGGGCUGCGAGGCUGCAGACAAAAACGGCUGUUCUGUGCCUGGCUCUCAUCCACAGAUCAUCCUUUUAAGGGUCGAAGUUUCUGCUCCGAGCAAGCUGGCCAGCCACUAUUGGCUUCUGACAACAGCAGGAUAAAAGACUUCCAUUGUCUGCUAGCACUCAGCCUUGAACCCAGGUGAAGAUGUUUCCUUGCCUCAAAAUGCUUUUUUAAAAAAAUGUGACUUCUGUUACUGUUCCGUGUGAAGCAUCGGUACGAAAAAGCCUCGUUUUAGUUGCACUAAAAUAAAAAGAAUCCUUCCCAA